AGAAAAAAGAAGAAACAAAGAACCAAAGAAGAUGUCGUUUAUGAUUAAGAUCUUAAUAACAAUGAUAAUGGCUUUGGUUAUAAUGGACAUGAGAGCAAAAAUUGUAACUGAGUGUCAGAAAACAGACUGCAAGUCUCUCUGUCAAAACAUGACCGAUAUAGCUUGUACUAAUUGUCUCUUCAGAUGCAUUUCUCCUCCAUCUUUUAAGUACUCCAACACAAGGCCGAACCAAUUGAAAAUGACCCCGAAGAUCUGUUACUAUAUUUGCUCUGGAGGUUGUGGUACAGACAAAAGAUGUGACCAUCGUUGUAAAAACUGUUGUGGUUGGCCAUCCCUCGAAACAUCUUCAUCACUGAUUUGAGAUUCUUGGGUCUUAGACUGUUGGAACUUUUGUUAUAUUUAUCUUCUUGUUAUCUAGUUGUUUAUUUUUUAUAAAUCUUUUCAUGUUGGGAUGUAAUUUGGCAUUAAAAGGUUUAAUAUAAACAAACUAAAAUCUAAUAA
Arabidopsis lyrata subsp. lyrata is the source of this 501-nucleotide long non-coding RNA. RefSeq lists it as uncharacterized. The transcript is spliced from 2 exons. The record is from RefSeq and is a predicted model, not a curated record. NCBI's taxonomy places the organism in Eukaryota, Viridiplantae, Streptophyta, Magnoliopsida, Brassicales, Brassicaceae.